GGCCCAGUGGUGGAUUGUCCGCACCCGCUUUGCUUAUUUUAAUGUAACGUAUUGGCGGGAGUCGCUCGUUCGAAUCGAGCCUGGGCCG
Non-coding RNA from Mycena leptocephala, 88 nucleotides. NCBI's taxonomy places the organism in Eukaryota, Fungi, Basidiomycota, Agaricomycetes, Agaricales, Mycenaceae. The record is from the annotation of a GenBank genome assembly.